Molecule: ribosomal RNA, 201 nt
Filed under: uncultured bacterium
Lineage: Bacteria
Description: partial 16S ribosomal RNA
Rfam family: Bacterial small subunit ribosomal RNA
Source: RNAcentral
ACGCUCGACACCUACGGGAGCAGCAGUGGGGGAUAUUGCACAAUGGGCGAAAGCCUGAUGCAGCGACGCCGCGUGAGGGAAGACGGUCUUCGGAUUGUAAACCUCUGUCUUCAGGGACGAAAGGAAUGACGGUACCUGAGGAGGAAGCCACGGCUAACUACGUGCCAGCAGCCGACGGUAAUCUGAGCGGGCUGGCAAGGC